RNAcentral lists this long non-coding RNA (2275 nucleotides) under Homo sapiens (human). Its description in RNAcentral is "HSALNT0168605". Lineage: Eukaryota; Metazoa; Chordata; Mammalia; Primates; Hominidae. The record is from RNAcentral.
UACACCUAGACAGGAUUUGUUUGCGUCAUCUUCAGACUGGGUAGAGCAAGUGCCUUUUGGGCAAGACCCUCAAGAGCUCCUUGCCAACCUCCUCCUAGAAGAGCAAAGACAAGGUGCUAGUGGGAGGAUUACUGCAUGGCUUGAGGGAGGGUCUGCCCGCUCCCCACACCGUGGCUGGAGAGUAGGAAGUGAGAGGGCCCAGAACAGGGACCCGAAGGAGACUUUUGGGAAGGUUCUGUUUUACCCUUUUCUCACAGAUGACCUGAGAUGUGAUUGACAGGGUGAUUUCCUGGGUCUCACUUUUGAAGUUCUAGAUGGGCAGAGCAGAGCAUGAAUCUCUUUCAAAGGCAGCAUGGAAGGACUGAAUGCCUCCUCCAACUCCAGGCAUUUGACAACCCCUACCCCGAAUGGGAGAAAAUACUUCAGGGUGAGAAAUCUUUCAACAACUAGUUAAGAUAUUUGAAUGUUGUAUUAGUCUGUUUUCAUGCUGCUGAAAAAGACAUACCCGAGACUGGGCAAUUUACAAAAGAAAGAGGUUUAAUUGGACUCACAGUUCAACAUGGCUGGGGAAGCCUCACAAUAAUGAUGGAAGGCAAGGAGGAGCAAGUCACAUCUUACAUGGAUGGCGGCAGGCAAAGAGAGAGCUUGUACAGGGAAACUCCCAUUUUUAAAACCAUCAGCUCUCGUGAGAUUUAUUCACUAUCACAAGAACAGCAUGGGAAAGACCUGCACCCAUGAUCCAAUUAUCUUCCACCGGGACUGUGCCACAGUACAUGGGAAUUAUGGGAGCUACAAGAUGAGAUUUGGAUGGGGACACAGAGCCAAUCCAUAUCAAAUAUCAAGUCAUUUUUUUUUUUUUUUGAAAUGGAUUCUCACUUUGUUGCCAGGCUAGAGUGUGACGGCGCAGCCUCAGCUCACUACAACCUCCGCCUCCCAGGUUCAAGUGAUUCUCCUGCCUCAGCCUCCUGAGUAGCCUUCAGAAUUGCAAUAGGAAAAACCUGGUAAACCUCCAGAAUGCCUGCCCAUAGGGACCUGCAAAGCUAAGCAAUGUCCACCUGAACAGUGGAGCACCACAUGACCAGUAGAGAAAAUUAAGUAACUCAGUGUUUACCAUGGGAAAUAUGGAAGACAUAUUAUUCUUCAGUGAAACCAAAGCUCACAGACCAGCAUGUCUGGGAUGAUCCAAUUUAGGUAAACAAAUAAAUUUCUUCAAAAGGCUGUAAUACAUGUGUCUGGGCCAAAUGCCGAUGGACCAGUUCUGAAUGGAAGUUGAUCAACCCACCAUGGUGUUGACAGGAAUUAGUUCCAGGGAAUAAAAAUCAUGGGGAGAUGGGGAGUUUACCAGGGUGAAUAUUUUUCACUUCCCAGUUGUAAAUGUAUGCCCAUCCAGAUUUUUUUGAAGUUUUAUUCACCACAAGUUCUAUGAUGGUUAAUUUUACAUGUCGACUUGACUGGAUGGCAGGAGAACUGGAUGGCGGAUAGAGCACUGUUUCUGGGUGUUUGUGAGGUGUUUCCAGGGGAGAAUAGCAUGUGAGUCUGAGGACUGAGGGAGGAAGACCUGUCUUCAAUGUGGGGGCCACCAUCCAAUCAGCUGGGGCCUGGCUGAGACAAAGCAGGUAGAGGGGCUGGGCUUGGAAAACGUUUUCCCCACUGUCAAUUACUGAGUGACUAUGAAACCCACCCAAUUUAUGAUGAAACAAGGGAUUGCUGUCUCUGCUCAUUAAAGCUACAAUAAUAGAAUCAUUUAUGUCCCCUCCUUCCCCAGCAUUCCCUGUGGCUAUUCCCCCAUGCCCCAACCUCUGCUCAUUCCUGAUGCUGAGUCUUUGCUUAGGCAGAUCGUCUUCCUAGGAUGUCGUUCCUGCCCCUGGCCGGGGGAGCCCAGCCAGAAGCAAAAUAAUCCCAUCACUUUGGGAAGCUGAGGGGAGAAGAUUGUGAGACCAGUAGUUCAAGACCAGCCUGGGCAAUAUAGUGAGACCUUGUCUUUACAAAAAAAUAAAUUAGCCUGGCAUGGUGGUGCACGACUAUAGUCGCAGCUACUCAGGAAGCUGAGGUGGGAGGAUGGCUUGAGCCUGGGAAGUCGAGGCUGCAGUGAGCUCUGAUCAUGCCACUGCACUCCAGCCUGGGGAACAGACUAAGACCCCAUCUCAAAAAAAAGCAUGUAGAGGAGGGGGGUUCACUCUCUCUGCUUCCUUUCUCCCUUUUGGAGCAGGAUGCUUUUCUCCUCCUGCCUUUAGACAUCAGACUCCAGGUUCUUUGGCUUCCUGAGUGAGGAAGG